GCCUCUUUAGCUCAGUUGGUAGAGCGCACGGCUGUUAACCGUUAGGUCGUAGGUUCAAGUCCUACAAGAGGCGCCA
RNAcentral lists this transfer RNA (76 nucleotides) under Clostridiales bacterium. RNAcentral's name for it is "tRNA-Asn". It matches the Rfam family "tRNA". Rfam says of the family: Transfer RNA (tRNA) molecules are approximately 80 nucleotides in length. Their secondary structure includes four short double-helical elements and three loops (D, anti-codon, and T loops). The record is from RNAcentral. Lineage: Bacteria; Bacillati; Bacillota; Clostridia; Eubacteriales.